This is a long non-coding RNA of Lycium barbarum (goji berry), 1730 nucleotides long. RefSeq lists it as uncharacterized. The record is from RefSeq and is a predicted model, not a curated record. The transcript is spliced from 2 exons. Lineage: Eukaryota; Viridiplantae; Streptophyta; Magnoliopsida; Solanales; Solanaceae.
UCCCUCAUCAGCCGUUACAUGUGCCUCUCUCAUCCCUUUUCUCUUUCAAGCAAAGCUCCAAUAUCCCUCAACCAUGGACAGCUUUUGUCCAUCUAUUUUCGAGCAAGAGGGAUCCAUCUCUUUCAUCCACGUCUGGUGUAUUUCAGAGGUUCUAUGAAGACUUUCCUAUUUUAUACUCAAAACGCACCAGCUCCUAAAAAAUCUUAAACAAAAUCUCACUGUUUCGGGUUAUGAUCUGACGCAUAUCUUUGCAAAUUUCAAACGGGUCUCUUGACUCGAUUUUGAAUAUCAAAUCUUUCAAUUCCCGCUCAGCAAACACAAACCCUAUCCUAGUUUCUCAUCUAUAAAUACUCUCUCAUAAUAGUAGCCGCACCACGUUUUUUUUUUAACAUCUGUGAACACCACCGCACCAAAUACAAUCUCUACACAUUUUGAACUCUAAGAACCUUAAAUUUCUAAAGUUCCUCUUUCAGUUGGACUUUAACCGUGAUAGAGAUUUUUAGAACUCAUUGGUGUCUAGUUUCGAAUCUGUUCAUAACGAGAGAGUAGAUUCGCCCGACGUCCCCGUUCACUGCACCAACAAAAGCACAUACAGGAUCUUGGGCUGAAGCUUACCCUGAGAUAAUCACUUGUGCAAAUAUGUUCUGGUGGCCUGCUGGUAGUCCAGCUCUUGCAGCUGAACCAGGCACUGGUCAACUGAACCCCUUGAUUCCCAAGAUCUAUGAAGUUCCCAAGGAUGUCAUCCACGAUACUGUUGCCAUGUUUCCAGAUUCAUUCUUUCAGGCGGGAGCGGAUGAGAUCAAUUCAGCCUGUUGGAAUACUGAUCCAUCAAUCCAAAAGUUUGUUUCUAGCAAUGGAACUCUCUGUCAGCUACUCUAGAAGUUUAUCUAUAAUACCUUACCUGAAAUCCUCUCACUCAAACGUACAGUGGUGUACUGGGAGGAUGUUAUAUUGAAUACUAAUGUGAAAGUGAAUCCAUGUCUGCUUCCUCCAGAGAAUGUUAUUAUGCAAACUUGGAAUAAUGGACCAAACAAUGCAAAACAGCUUGUCACUUCUGGCUACCGUGUCAUUGUGUCGUCUGCAGAUUACUAUUACUUGGAUUGUGGUCAUGGGAGCUUCGUUGGAAAUGACAGCCGCUAUGACCAGCCAUCAGGUACUGACCAAGGCAAUGGUGGAUCCUGGUAUGGGCCUUCCAAGACCUGGGAAACCAUUUACAACUAUUAUAUAACCUAUGGCCUGACUGAUGAGGAGGCUCAAUUGGUAAUUGGAGGGGAAGUAGCAUUAUGGUCAGAACAAGCUGGUUCAACUGUUAUGGACUCACGAAUUUGGCCGAUAGCAUCAGCAAUGGCAGAAACAUUGUGGUCAGGGAAUCGCGAUGAAACCGGGAUGAAGAGAUAUGCAGAGGCUACUGAUCGACUAAAUGAAUGGAGGUACAGAAUGGUUGCUAGGGGAAUAGGUGCUGAACCGAUUCAGCCACUUUGGUGUCUCAAAAAGCCAGGCAUGUGUAACACAGUUCAUCCAUUUACUAGCUGACUCUUUAUCAGUGUGUACUGGUCUCUUUUUCAGUUUGUUUUCCACUUCCUCUCAGUGUUCAUUCAAAACUGAAAAGAGGGCUAUUUAUCUGUAUUAUCUUCUAUAUAUUCAAAGUCAGUUUCUUAUUGUAAUAUUACCUUCUAUGUCACCACAUUACUGAGAUUUUACUAAGCAAAUGAAUUUGAGAAUUUUUUACA